This 497-nucleotide ribosomal RNA is filed under the name uncultured bacterium. Its description in RNAcentral is "partial 16S ribosomal RNA". It matches the Rfam family "Bacterial small subunit ribosomal RNA", at positions 28 to 523 of the family's 1533-position model. The record is from RNAcentral.
GAUGAACGCUGGCGGCGUGCUUAACACAUGCAAGUCGAACGGAGUUUACUUAACAGAUUUCUUCGGAAUGAUGUUUUUUAAACUUAGUGGCGGACGGGUGAGUAACGCGUGGGUAACCUGCCUUACACAGGGGGAUAGCAGUUGGAAACGACUGGUAAUACCGCAUACCUUACAUUAUUCGCAUGUUUGAUGUAAGAAAGAUUUUAUCGGUGUAAGAUGGACCCGUGUCUGAUUAGCUAGUUGGUGUGGUAACGGCAUACCAAGGCGACGAUCAGUAGCCGGCCUGAGAGGGUGAACGGCCACAUUGGGACUGAGAUACGGCCCAGACUCCUACGGGAGGCAGCAGUGGGGAAUAUUGCACAAUGGAGGCAACUCUGAUGCAGCGACGCCGCGUGAGUGAAGAAGUAUUUCGGUAUGUAAAGCUCUAUCAGUAGGGAAGAUAAUGACGGUACCUACAGAAGAAGCCCCGGCUAAAUACGUGCCAGCCGCCGCCGUAA